CGCUGGCGGCAGGCUUAACACAUGCAAGUUGAACGGGAUUUGUAUGGUGCUUGCACUAUGCAAUGAGAGUAGCGCACUGGUGAGUAACACGUGGGAACAUGGCCCUGAAGUGUGGAAUAACAGAGGGAAACGACUGCUAAUACCGCAUAACACUUUAGUACCGCAUGGUACAGAAGUCAAAGCUUUAUGUGCUGAGAGAUGGGUCUCGCGUCUGAUUAGCUAGAUGGCGGGUAACGGCCCACCAUGGCGACGAUCAGUAGCCGGUCUGAGAGGAUGAACGGCCACAUUGGGACUGAGAUACGGGCCCAGACUCCUACGGGAGGCAGCAGUGGGGGAAUAUUGGGCAAUGGGGGAAACCCUGACCCAGCAACGCCGCGUGAAGGAAGAAGGCCUUCGGGUUGUAAACUUCUUUUACCAGGGACGAAGAAAGUGACGGUACCUGGAGAAAAAGCAACGGCUAACUACGUG
Molecule: ribosomal RNA, 468 nt
Filed under: uncultured bacterium
Lineage: Bacteria
Description: bacterial SSU rRNA
Rfam family: Bacterial small subunit ribosomal RNA
Source: RNAcentral